GGGAUGUGGAUGCUCCUUCUUCGC
RNAcentral lists this non-coding RNA (24 nucleotides) under Arabidopsis thaliana (thale cress). Lineage: Eukaryota; Viridiplantae; Streptophyta; Magnoliopsida; Brassicales; Brassicaceae. The record is from RNAcentral.